GGGUUGUGAGGUUAAGCGACUAAGCGUACACGGUGGAUGCCCUGGCAGUCAGAGGCGAUGAAGGACGUGCUAAUCUGCGAUAAGCGUCGGUAAGGUGAUAUGAACCGUUAUAACCGGCGAUUUCCGAAUGGGGAAACCCAGUGUGAUUCGUCACACUAUCAUUAACUGAAUCCAUAGGUUAAUGAGGCGAACCGGGGGAACUGAAACAUCUAAGUACCCCGAGGAAAAGAAAUCAACCGAGAUUCCCCCAGUAGCGGCGAGCGAACGGGGAGCAGCCCAGAGCCUGAAUCAGUGUGUGUGUUAGUGGAAGCGUCUGGAAAGGCGCGCGAUACAGGGUGACAGCCCCGUACACAAAAAUGCACAUGCUGUGAGCUCGAUGAGUAGGGCGGGACACGUGGUAUCCUGUCUGAAUAUGGGGGGACCAUCCUCCAAGGCUAAAUACUCCUGACUGACCGAUAGUGAACCAGUACCGUGAGGGAAAGGCGAAAAGAACCCCGGCGAGGGGAGUGAAAAAGAACCUGAAACCGUGUACGUACAAGCAGUGGGAGCACGCUUAGGCGUGUGACUGCGUACCUUUUGUAUAAUGGGUCAGCGACUUAUAUUCUGUAGCAAGGUUAACCGAAUAGGGGAGCCGAAGGGAAACCGAGUCUUAACUGGGCGUUAAGUUGCAGGGUAUAGACCCGAAACCCGGUGAUCUAGCCAUGGGCAGGUUGAAGGUUGGGUAACACUAACUGGAGGACCGAACCGACUAAUGUUGAAAAAUUAGCGGAUGACUUGUGGCUGGGGGUGAAAGGCCAAUCAAACCGGGAGAUAGCUGGUUCUCCCCGAAAGCUAUUUAGGUAGCGCCUCGUGAAUUCAUCUCCGGGGGUAGAGCACUGUUUCGGCAAGGGGGUCAUCCCGACUUACCAACCCGAUGCAAACUGCGAAUACCGGAGAAUGUUAUCACGGGAGACACACGGCGGGUGCUAACGUCCGUCGUGAAGAGGGAAACAACCCAGACCGCCAGCUAAGGUCCCAAAGUCAUGGUUAAGUGGGAAACGAUGUGGGAAGGCCCAGACAGCCAGGAUGUUGGCUUAGAAGCAGCCAUCAUUUAAAGAAAGCGUAAUAGCUCACUGGUCGAGUCGGCCUGCGCGGAAGAUGUAACGGGGCUAAACCAUGCACCGAAGCUGCGGCAGCGACGCUUAUGCGUUGUUGGGUAGGGGAGCGUUCUGUAAGCCUGUGAAGGUGUACUGUGAGGUAUGCUGGAGGUAUCAGAAGUGCGAAUGCUGACAUAAGUAACGAUAAAGCGGGUGAAAAGCCCGCUCGCCGGAAGACCAAGGGUUCCUGUCCAACGUUAAUCGGGGCAGGGUGAGUCGACCCCUAAGGCGAGGCCGAAAGGCGUAGUCGAUGGGAAACAGGUUAAUAUUCCUGUACUUGGUGUUACUGCGAAGGGGGGACGGAGAAGGCUAUGUUGGCCGGGCGACGGUUGUCCCGGUUUAAGCGUGUAGGCUGGUUUUCCAGGCAAAUCCGGAAAAUCAAGGCUGAGGCGUGAUGACGAGGCACUACGGUGCUGAAGCAACAAAUGCCCUGCUUCCAGGAAAAGCCUCUAAGCAUCAGGUAACAUCAAAUCGUACCCCAAACCGACACAGGUGGUCAGGUAGAGAAUACCAAGGCGCUUGAGAGAACUCGGGUGAAGGAACUAGGCAAAAUGGUGCCGUAACUUCGGGAGAAGGCACGCUGAUAUGUAGGUGAAGUCCCUCGCGGAUGGAGCUGAAAUCAGUCGAAGAUACCAGCUGGCUGCAACUGUUUAUUAAAAACACAGCACUGUGCAAACACGAAAGUGGACGUAUACGGUGUGACGCCUGCCCGGUGCCGGAAGGUUAAUUGAUGGGGUUAGCGCAAGCGAAGCUCUUGAUCGAAGCCCCGGUAAACGGCGGCCGUAACUAUAACGGUCCUAAGGUAGCGAAAUUCCUUGUCGGGUAAGUUCCGACCUGCACGAAUGGCGUAAUGAUGGCCAGGCUGUCUCCACCCGAGACUCAGUGAAAUUGAACUCGCUGUGAAGAUGCAGUGUACCCGCGGCAAGACGGAAAGACCCCGUGAACCUUUACUAUAGCUUGACACUGAACAUUGAGCCUUGAUGUGUAGGAUAGGUGGGAGGCUUUGAAGUGUGGACGCCAGUCUGCAUGGAGCCGGCCUUGAAAUACCACCCUUUAAUGUUUGAUGUUCUAACGUUGACCCGUAAUCCGGGUUGCGGACAGUGUCUGGUGGGUAGUUUGACUGGGGCGGUCUCCUCCUAAAGAGUAACGGAGGAGCACGAAGGUUGGCUAAUCCUGGUCGGACAUCAGGAGGUUAGUGCAAUGGCAUAAGCCAGCUUGACUGCGAGCGUGACGGCGCGAGCAGGUGCGAAAGCAGGUCAUAGUGAUCCGGUGGUUCUGAAUGGAAGGGCCAUCGCUCAACGGAUAAAAGGUACUCCGGGGAUAACAGGCUGAUACCGCCCAAGAGUUCAUAUCGACGGCGGUGUUUGGCACCUCGAUGUCGGCUCAUCACAUCCUGGGGCUGAAGUAGGUCCCAAGGGUAUGGCUGUUCGCCAUUUAAAGUGGUACGCGAGCUGGGUUUAGAACGUCGUGAGACAGUUCGGUCCCUAUCUGCCGUGGGCGCUGGAGAACUGAGGGGGGCUGCUCCUAGUACGAGAGGACCGGAGUGGACGCAUCACUGGUGUUCGGGUUGUCAUGCCAAUGGCACUGCCCGGUAGCUAAAUGCGGAAGAGAUAAGUGCUGAAAGCAUCUAAGCACGAAACUUGCCCCGAGAUGAGUUCUCCCUGACUCCUUGAGAGUCCUGAAGGAACGUUGAAGACGACGACGUUGAUAGGCCGGGUGUGUAAGCGCAGCGAUGCGUUGAGCUAACCGGUACUAAUGAACCGUGAGGCUUAACCUUACAACGCCGAAGGUGUUU
Molecule: ribosomal RNA, 2931 nt
Filed under: Escherichia coli
Lineage: Bacteria; Pseudomonadati; Pseudomonadota; Gammaproteobacteria; Enterobacterales; Enterobacteriaceae
Description: bacterial LSU rRNA
Rfam family: Bacterial large subunit ribosomal RNA
Source: RNAcentral